RNAcentral lists this transfer RNA (75 nucleotides) under Parcubacteria group bacterium CG1_02_40_82. Its description in RNAcentral is "tRNA-Asn". It matches the Rfam family "tRNA". Rfam says of the family: Transfer RNA (tRNA) molecules are approximately 80 nucleotides in length. Their secondary structure includes four short double-helical elements and three loops (D, anti-codon, and T loops). Further hydrogen bonds mediate the characteristic L-shaped molecular structure. tRNAs have two regions of fundamental functional importance: the anti-codon, which is responsible for specific mRNA codon recognition, and the 3' end, to which the tRNAs corresponding amino acid is attached (by aminoacyl-tRNA synthetases). tRNAs cope with the degeneracy of the genetic code in two manners: having more than one tRNA (with a specific anti-codon) for a particular amino acid; and 'wobble' base-pairing, i.e. permitting non-standard base-pairing at the 3rd anti-codon position. RNAcentral also lists the same sequence under 2 other names. The record is from RNAcentral.
UCCGGAGUAGCUCAAUGGUAGAGCAACUGACUGUUAAUCAGUGGGUUGUCGGUUCGAAUCCGACCUCCGGAGCCA